GGGCCCCUAGCUCAACGGUAGAGCAGCCGCUUCGCAAGCGGCAAGCUCCGGGUUCAAAUCCCGGGGGUGUCCA
RNAcentral lists this transfer RNA (73 nucleotides) under Halorubrum halodurans. RNAcentral describes it as "tRNA-Ala". It matches the Rfam family "tRNA". Rfam says of the family: Transfer RNA (tRNA) molecules are approximately 80 nucleotides in length. Their secondary structure includes four short double-helical elements and three loops (D, anti-codon, and T loops). The record is from RNAcentral. Lineage: Archaea; Methanobacteriati; Methanobacteriota; Halobacteria; Halobacteriales; Haloferacaceae.